CAAGCGUUGUUCAUCAUCAUUCUAACCCGAACCCAAGCCCCAAAAUUCCGUCCAAAUCCAUGGCGAGCGAGCAUCAACCCCUAACCCACACAUCCCUCUAUCUCUCCUCUUACCAUUUCUAACGGUCUCUGACGGAAGAUUCUUCCUACUCGCUCGAAUUGAGCCUUAUCUUUGAUUUGAGGCUUCUGGAAAGGAUUUGCUGGAUGAGUGUGAGCCAUUGGAUUGAUUUCACUUAAUCCAAGCCCCACAUUCAUCAGGAAUUCAUUUUCAAAAGAAGCUCUAUCCAAUUUCUAAGGAGGUCGGCUAAAAAAUUCAGAGAAAAAAACGGUUGAAAGGUUUUAUGUGAAAGUGGGUUUUCGGAGUUGAAUUCCUUUGACGAGGUCAUUAAAGUUUAAGAAAAACAUAGAUACAAUUUUUUUUUCUUAUUUUUGAAUCCGGAUUUGAGUUCCUGGGAUAUACAAAUUGAAGUUUGAGCUACGUUUCUACUGUUGUUCUGCUGAGUCACUACUGAACCUCGAUAGGAUUCGGAAUCAAAAGGUGUAAUGUCGAGAACAUAGUUAUUAAAGGGAUUUUGAUAUUUCAUGUUCGAUUUCUUUCUCUUUCGUAUCUCUGUUAUAACUAGACCCCUCCUGGUGGGAAUAUACUGGGUAGUUGUCGUAUCUCUGUUAUAAAGUAUUUUGAGCAGUGAGAUUUUGUCCAGAAUGAUGUUUGGUUCUGUGCGUGAUUCUCUUUGCUGUUAAACUGCUUCUCAGUGGUAUGAUGUAUUUGGAUAUUUUCAAUUAGUAGAAGUUUAUUUUGAGUGGUCGUUUUCUAUGAUUUAACUGUUAUUGU
Molecule: long non-coding RNA, 831 nt
Filed under: Nicotiana benthamiana
Lineage: Eukaryota; Viridiplantae; Streptophyta; Magnoliopsida; Solanales; Solanaceae
Description: long non-coding RNA (NBEN_LNC016476)
Rfam family: MIR6151 microRNA precursor family (bases 195-265)
Source: RNAcentral